CCUAUCAGCUUUCGACGGUAGGGUAUUGGCCUACCGUGGCAGUGACGGGUAACGGGGAAUUAGGGUUUGAUUCCGGAGAGGGAGCCUGAGAAACGGCUACCACAUCUAAGGAUGGCAGCAGGCGCGCAAAUUACCCAAUGAAAACAGUUUCGAGGUAGUGACGAUAAAUAACAAUACAGGACAUAUCAUGUCUUGUAAUUGGAAUGGUGGGAAUCUAAACCCCUUUCAGAGUAACAAUUGGAGGGCAAGUCUGGUGCCAGCAGCCGCGGUAAUUCCAGCUCCAAUAGCGUAUAUUAGAGUUGUUGCAGUUAAAAAGCUCGUAGUUGGAUUUCUGUCGGGUGCCGCUCGUCCGCCUCUUUUAGUAGGGGUGUGCACGUGUCUAUCCCGGCUUCUUUCCGGUUCGUCUUGGCACUUAAUUGUGGCAUUUCGUUGUCCGGAUCUUUUACUUUGAGAAAAAUAGAGUGUUUCAAGCAGGCUGUCGCCUUGAAUACUGCAGCAUGGAAUAAUAAGAUAGGACUUUGGUUCUAUUUUGUUGGUUUCUAGGACUAAAGUAAUGAUUAAUAGGAACAGUCGGGGGCAUU
Molecule: ribosomal RNA, 581 nt
Filed under: Eimeria sp.
Lineage: Eukaryota; Apicomplexa; Conoidasida; Eucoccidiorida; Eimeriidae
Description: SSU rRNA
Rfam family: Eukaryotic small subunit ribosomal RNA
Source: RNAcentral